UGGAGUGUAGCUCAGCAGGCAGAGCAUGCGAAUCAUAAUCGUAAGGUAUGGGUUCAAUCCCCAUCUCUCCAA
This 72-nucleotide transfer RNA is filed under the name Clostridium sp. AM30-24. Its description in RNAcentral is "tRNA-Met". It matches the Rfam family "tRNA". From Rfam's summary of the family: Transfer RNA (tRNA) molecules are approximately 80 nucleotides in length. Their secondary structure includes four short double-helical elements and three loops (D, anti-codon, and T loops). The record is from RNAcentral. Lineage: Bacteria; Bacillati; Bacillota; Clostridia; Eubacteriales; Clostridiaceae.